UAGGCUGGGUUUCUGUACAGAACUUUGAGAUAUCAGCUGAUGUAAGAAGGGCUAUAUAAAAACAUUUGAUUUGAUUUGAUAUUUGUCGUCCCACUGUUCUUAACUUGGGAUCGGUCCAUAUCUCACCAUCUGUUGCGUCAUCGAUCUCUCCAGAGUCCUAUUAAUCAAACCUCUCACACAGGGAAUCAAUCAACAACCACUCAACAAUAACACACUCAUACAGGUGAAAACAGCCCACAACACAGUGAUUCCAACAUUUUUCCAUUUCCCAAACAUACUAUCGAACCACCCUGUCAGGGAAGUCUCCACCCCAGAGUUCUCUGCUAACUCAUUUGCCAAUGUGGUUAAACCAGCCAGGGCCUUGGUCACUGAUCCAUCUGGAGCUGUGUGAUUUGGGAUGAAAGUACAGCACAUUGAUCCAAAUAUCACACACACACACCACCCUUCUCAGCCAGUAAUAUAUCCAAUGCUAUUCUAUUCUGCCAAGCCAUCAAACUAGCUGCCUCCGUCUGUUCUGCUAAUCCUUUUAUCGCAUCACUACUAUAGUUGAUGAAGCGCUGUUGAUUAUGAAUAGAUAUAAUUUAUCCAAUCCACAUUCUUAUUUAAGGUGGAGCACCAGAAAAUGCUUGACUCUAACCCUGCUAAUAUUUGGUUUCUUGCUUUAAAUUCAUAUGGCACCCCUCGUGGAACCCCAAUACUAUCAAUGUAUACUCUAUCGUCGAAGGACCCUGACGGAGCACUCCUCCUCUCUCUUCUGCCUUGCUCUAGGUCUUUGUGUUGAAUAAGGGUGAAGGGCAAGCCUAACUGUACCAAUGCUCAAAUACCUGUCCAAUUCAUAGGUAAAUUCGGCCACAGUUUCACUCCCCCACACAACCACCAAACAUCAGCUCUUGGCUUCUCAAUCUUACUGAAGUCCUCGGAUCUCAACCACCCUGUCAGAUCCCUCAUAGUCUCAUCAGUAGUGACAUUUUCAGUCCUGUUACAUCUGGCCACCUCCCCCAAGUCUCUCCCAUGAGUAUUGUACCGGGCCAAACCGUAAUUGCCUCCUCCUGCCACUAUGAAGGGGGGAAACCUAGAUCUACUAGGCACAUGGGGAUACAAAUAAUGUAGAUCAGUACAGCUAUCAUUGUCAGGCUUUCCUGCUUUCAUGAAAAGAUUUACCAUACACGCUACCCCUCUAGGUGAAUUAGUUGCAUCAAGUGGGAAUGGUGUAGUCGUUAAUCGGGGUUUGGCUGCUCCACAGGCAUAACCUUCUUUCUUAGCCAUAGACCUUGCUGUAUAUUGGAUCCACUCCAUCCAUAAAUUAGUAUCCGCGAACCCUAUUUCUACCUCUAUAACUUCGUUAACAGCUCUGGCAGUCUGUCCUGCUCCUCCUCUGGCUCCUCCUUGACUUACCGCUGGCUGAAUGGCAGCUCUGAGGUCACAGCCAUUGAUGGAGUUCAGCUUGGUGAUGGCAACAGCACUCUCACCAUAGUCAGAGUGACCCGGUAUGACCAGGGGCCAUUUAGCUGUAAUGUGUCCAACCCAGGCCCCCAGUGUCUGGUCUGGAGCGCAGUCACGAGCUCUGCAGGUCGGCUACUGCGUAGCAUCCUAGCGAUGACAAAAGCCACGGUCUUCCCCAGAAAGACUAUGUAAAUCACGAUUGUCAGACGGCCAAACAACUUUUUGGAAGGCCGUUUUGGGCUCUAAAAUUACUUUAUUAUUAUCAAAUUCGAUCCCCGCGCUGAAUUAUUUGAAAGUUCAAAUCAAGAUAUUUAAUUAAAUUGUGAUCCAUUCUGAUGACUACAUUUGUCAUCACACAGGACCACGUGCUGACACAGACCAAUCACUGACACAGACCAAUCACGGGCCGGCAGACUACGAGGCUACAAUUAUCAUUGUAUCAGGAACCAAGGUACAGAAGUAGUCUGAAACACAGGCAUUUGUUACAUCAGAAGAGAUGGUGGCAUCUGUAGUCGUCUUUCUUACCAUGGCAAUACUCUCAGUAUAUUGUGCUGGUCUAGAAGUGCUUCCACCUGGACCUGCGAAUGGAACAUUGGGAGGAAAUGUGUUUUUCAAAACCACCAUCAAUCCAACCACACUUAGUGCAAUUGUCUGGACUUUUGGUGACCCCCCUGUCAUCAUUGUUGACUUUCUCAGUUCUGAAGGUCCUGUGACCGGAGAGGGAUAUGUUGGCAGGAUCAGUCUGGACAAUAGCACUGGAUCUCUGGAGCUCUUGAAACUGACCAUUGCUGACAAUGGAGAAUACAGAGUGAUCCUAAGAGAGUCUGAUUUGAUGUAUUUGUCAAAUACUUCACUGAAUGUCUAUGCGGAGGGCUCUCUAACUCCAGACGGACUGUCUGUUGUUGUCAUCACUGGGAUUGUGAUAAUAGUGUUGCUGGUUGUGGAAGUGGCAGUUAGUGUUGCAGUCUAUUUCAUCAAGAAAAAUGGAAGCAAUGUUGAGCCAAUGCAUCGAGGAGGCUCGCAACAACAUGUAUAUGAGAACCCAUCACCUGUGUAUGAGAACCCAUCACCUGUGUAUGAGAACCCAUCACCUGAGAACACAUCACCUGUGUAUGAGAACCCAUCACCUGUGUAUGAGAACCCAUCACCUGUGCGUGACAACACACAACAAAAUCAAUCUCCACCUCUACCCCUGACACUGUCCCAUAGUAAUGAAUGUGUCGGGAGUCGGGACGAGAACGACAGGUAGUCAGCGUUUCUUGGCUAGACAAACUCAUGAAUCAGCUGGCAUCAUUUUUAUGGAUAUACUGUAUAUAUAUAUAUAUAUAUACACACACAAAGAAAUGUCAGUUAAAAAAGGUGAAAUUAAGCAGUUUUUCCAGCUUCAGUUUGAAGUGAUUAUGUUAGCUGUGUUGUUGGCUAGCUCCUCUGCUCUGAACAACAGUGUCCUGACGAGUGAGCACAUUUUCUAUGGCAGGCGAAAUCACGCCUCAAUAGCCCAUUGUUAAGUAUGUAUACAAAUAAAUGUCACUAGAAAACAG
Non-coding RNA from Salmo salar (Atlantic salmon), 2984 nucleotides. Lineage: Eukaryota; Metazoa; Chordata; Actinopteri; Salmoniformes; Salmonidae. The record is from RefSeq and is a predicted model, not a curated record.